UACGGAGGGUGCAAGCGUUGUCCGGAAUCACUGGGUGUAAAGGGUGUGUAGGCGGCUCUGUAAGUCAGAGGUGAAAUCCCGCAGCUUAACUGUGGAACUGCCUUUGAUACUGCAGAACUUGAGUCUCGAAGAGGUAGCUGGAAUUCGUGGUGUAGCGGUGAAAUGCGUAGAUAUCACGAGGAACACCAGAGGCGUAGGCGGGCUACUGGGCGAGUACUGACGCUGAGGCACGAAAGCGUGGGGAGCAAACAGG
RNAcentral lists this ribosomal RNA (253 nucleotides) under uncultured bacterium. Its description in RNAcentral is "partial 16S ribosomal RNA". It matches the Rfam family "Bacterial small subunit ribosomal RNA", at positions 524 to 776 of the family's 1533-position model. The record is from RNAcentral.